GCCACGAUAGUGUAGCAUGGUUAGCAUUGGGGACUGUGGAUCCCCCAGCCCGGGUUCAAAUCCCGGUCGUGGCC
This 74-nucleotide transfer RNA is filed under the name archaeon. RNAcentral's name for it is "tRNA-His". It matches the Rfam family "tRNA". Rfam says of the family: Transfer RNA (tRNA) molecules are approximately 80 nucleotides in length. Their secondary structure includes four short double-helical elements and three loops (D, anti-codon, and T loops). The record is from RNAcentral.